Long non-coding RNA from Ailuropoda melanoleuca (giant panda), 755 nucleotides. RefSeq lists it as uncharacterized. The transcript is spliced from 3 exons. Lineage: Eukaryota; Metazoa; Chordata; Mammalia; Carnivora; Ursidae. The record is from RefSeq and is a predicted model, not a curated record.
GCCGCUCACAUCCUUGGGGACUUUUCUUCGCAGCUCUGUGCCCACUCCAGCCUCUGGGGGAUGUCAUUCUGAACGUCCCCUCUCCCACUGCCGUUGCAGUGAAAGAUCACUGUGUGUAGCCAGGAGGCAUGCACGGCUCACACCGAGGGAGAGACCCAGAGCCGGGGGCCCAGUGCCCACCCCCAGGUGUCUCACCUUUCCUCACGGCGGAACGUCAGAGCCGGUGGGGGCUGGAGGGACGCGCGCAUCCACAUCCGAACCUCUCAGGUGACCGGUUACUGGGGUGGGAGCUGGCACUGUGUCGCUACCUGGAUAGAGCAGGGGGCGGGGAGAGACAGGCUGAGAAGCACGGAAUGUAUUCAAUGGAGGGAGAAAGAAUGAAUGAGAGCGAGAGAGAGAGCAAAAGAGCGUGAGAGUGAGGGCCUGGGAAGAAAACAAGGCAAGGAAAAGAAAUCAAAUGAGAAAGAAAAAGGCCCAAAGUGGGGUGAAGGCAUAAGUGACCGGCCAUCUGGAAGCAGCACGGAGCUUGGCGGGGGUGUGUGUUUGUGAAGCAGGGGAGCUAGACCGACAGGUGCGAGGGCCCAGCUGCUGCCAGCCAAGAACCUUCUGGGCCCAGCGCCCAACCAGAAAGAAGGCAUGGCCCCUGCAAGAGACUUCUCCAGGGGGGCUUUCGGCUGAGGGAAUAGAUGGGAGCUGCCCUUUCCUAGGGGCAGGGCAACCCUCAGCGAGCCCAGUGGGGCUUGCCUCUGAAGAGC